Molecule: ribosomal RNA, 1111 nt
Filed under: Pseudarthrobacter sulfonivorans
Lineage: Bacteria; Bacillati; Actinomycetota; Actinomycetes; Micrococcales; Micrococcaceae
Description: bacterial SSU rRNA
Rfam family: Bacterial small subunit ribosomal RNA
Source: RNAcentral
UCGAACGAUGAACCUCACUUGUGGGGGGAUUAGUGGCGAACGGGUGAGUAACACGUGAGUAGCCUGCCCUUAACUCUGGGAUAAGCCUGGGAAACUGGGUCUAAUACCGGAUAUGACUCCUCAUCGCAUGCUGGGGGGUGGAAAGCUUUAUUGUGGUUUUGGAUGGACUCGCGGCCUAUCAGCUUGUUGGUGAGGUAAUGGCUCACCAAGGCGACGACGGGUAGCCGGCCUGAGAGGGUGACCGGCCACACUGGGACUGACACACGGCCCAUACUCCUACGGGAGGCAGCAGUGGGGAAUAUUGCACAAUGGGCGAAAGCCUGAUGCAGCGACGCCGCUUGAGGGAUGACGGCCUUCGGGUUGUAAACCUCUUUCAGUAGGGAAGAAGCGAAAGUGACGGUACCUGCAGAAGAAGCGCCGGCUAACUACGUGCCAGCAGCCGCGGUAAUACGUAGGGCGCAAGCGUUAUCCGGAAUUAUUGGGCGUAAAGAGCUCGUAGGCGGUUUGUCGCGUCUGCCGUGAAAGUCCGGGGCUCAACUCCGGAUCUGCGGUGGGUACGGGCAGACUAGAGUGAUGUAGGGGAGACUGGAAUUCCUGGUGUAGCGGUGAAAUGCGCAGAUAUCAGGAGGAACACCGAUGGCGAAGGCAGGUCUCUGGGCAUUAACUGACGCUGAGGAGCGAAUGCAUGGGGAGCGAACAGGAUUAGAUACCCUGGUAGUCCAUGCCGUACACGUUGGGCACUAGGUGUGGGGGACAUUCCACGUUCUCCGCGCCGUAGCUAACGCAUUAAGUGCCCCGCCUGGGGAGACGGCCGCAAGGCUAAACUCAAAGGAAUGACGGGGGCCCGCACAAGCGGCGGAGCAUGCGGAUUAAUUCGAUGCAACGCGAAGAACCUUACCAAGGCUUGACAUGAACCGGUAAUACCUGGAAACAGGUGCCCCGCUUGCGGUCGGUUUACAGGUGGUGCAUGGUUGUCGUCAGCUCGUGUCGUGAGAUGUUGGGUUAAGUCCCGCAACGAGCGCAACCCUCGUUCUAUGUUGCCAGCGCGUGAUGGCGGGGACUCAUAGGAGACUGCCGGGGUCAACUCGGAGGAAGGUGGGGACGACGUCAA